UACAGAGGGUGCGAGCGUUGUUCGGAGUUACUGGGCGUAAAGAGUGCGUAGGCGGUUUUCUAAGUUUGGUGUGAAAUCUCCCGGCUUAACUGGGAGGGUGCGCCGAAAACUGGAAGGCUUGAGUAUGGGAGAGGGAUGCAGAAUUCCAGGUGUAGCGGUGAAAUGCGUAGAUAUCUGGAGGAAUACCGGUGGCGAAGGCGGCAUCCUGGACCGGCAUUGACGCUGAUACAGCGAAAGCUAGGGGAGCAAACGGG
RNAcentral lists this ribosomal RNA (254 nucleotides) under uncultured bacterium. RNAcentral's name for it is "partial 16S ribosomal RNA". It matches the Rfam family "Bacterial small subunit ribosomal RNA", at positions 524 to 776 of the family's 1533-position model. The record is from RNAcentral.